CCUACGGGUGGCAGCAGUGGGGAAUAUUGGGCAAUGGGCGCAAGCCUGACCCAGCAACGCCGCGUGCAGGAAGAAGGCUUUCGGGUUGUAAACUUCUUUUCUGAGGGACGAAGAAAGUGACGGUACCUCAGGAAUAAGCCACGGCUAACUACGUUCCAGCAGCCGCGGUAAUACGUUGGUGGCAAGCGUUAUCCCGAGUUAUUGGGUGUAAAGGGCGUGUAGGCGGGAAAGUAAGUCAGAUGUGAAAACUCAGGGCUCAACCCCGAGCCUGCAUUUGAAACUGUUUUUCUUGAGUGCUGGAGAGGAAAGCGGAAUUCCGUGUGUAGCGGUGAAAUGCGUAGAUAUACGGAGGAACACCAGUGGCGAAGGCGGAUUGCUGGACAGUAACUGACGCUGAGGCGCGAAAGCGUGGGGAGCAAACAGGAUUAGAUACCCGGGUAGUC
Molecule: ribosomal RNA, 443 nt
Filed under: uncultured bacterium
Lineage: Bacteria
Description: partial 16S ribosomal RNA
Rfam family: Bacterial small subunit ribosomal RNA
Source: RNAcentral